RNAcentral lists this long non-coding RNA (1957 nucleotides) under Triticum aestivum (bread wheat). RNAcentral describes it as "long non-coding RNA (TAES_LNC026054)". The stretch from base 784 to 918 matches the Rfam family "MIR1120/MIR1122 microRNA precursor family". Lineage: Eukaryota; Viridiplantae; Streptophyta; Magnoliopsida; Poales; Poaceae. The record is from RNAcentral.
GUUAGGGGUGAGCCUGAAAGGUCAACUCCUGGGGAUAUAUUCCCUGGCUUCAAUGUCUCUCCUGGUGUCCUGGCUGAGCCAUCAUUUCCUGCACCACUUCAACCCCAACUGGUAUGUGUUCUCCAUGAUUGAAGGUUCUCUCCUCAUGCUUCCCUGACAUUCGUUCCAUAUGAUUGGAAGCUAGCUUACAUGGAUAUAUAUGUGGGAUGGUUUGACAUAUGAUAUGUAUUUUGUGUUUCCCCAUGAUCUAAUUUACUGCGGUACUUGCUAAAAUGUAAGUUCUAUUAAGGUGAUACGAGGCCUUACAGUUCUCUAGCUCUUACUGCAUGUGUAUCGAGGCAUGCUACAUGCCUUCUCCUGCCUUUGCAUGCUUGGAUUGUGACUGCUUUCAUGUAUGUAUACAAAUUGUUGGUGUAGGAAAGAUUUGCGAUGUUGUAUUUGCUUUAUUUGCCUGUCAUGGGGCUACUGGACAACUUGAGCCAUUUUACCCCAGUUCUUUUUAACUGAUCUUUUGAAUCUGGUUUCAGGGCAUGGUGUCUCAUGCUGGAAAAUCAACAAAUCCGUUUGACAUGGCAUUUGAGUCUGAUGUUGAAGCCAUCGACAUGGUGUGUAACUGUACUGCUAUUUUCUGGUUUGCACUUAUAACUGUUUGUAAACACACUGAUGUUGAAGCCAACGACAUGGACUACUAAUAGUUCCUCUUGUUUGUAAACACACUGUAAGCUUUAGAAUAAACCGUUGCUGACUAACACACGAUAUCCUUUUACAUUCUUCUCUUAUUGGGUGCUACUCCCUCCGUUCCGAAUUACUUGUCUUGGAUUUGUCUAGAUACGGAUGUAUCUAGACUCAUUUUAGUGCUAGAUACAUCCGUAUCUAGACAAAUCCAAGACAAGUAAUUCGGAACGGAGGGAGUACUUCAGAAUGCAGUUGUUUCAGUACUGCCAAAACCCUGUCACAAGGGAAACCUCUGUUUCUUUGUGUUCUUAUUUAUCAUCUUUUCUAUUCCUCUUUUCAGUUUAUGGAUUUGACCUCACUACAAGCAACAUUGCCGGAUACUCAUCUUCCCGCAGAAUACUCCAUCAACUUAGCAGAGCCAUGGAUGUCUCAGAAUUCUACCGUGCCAUAUAUUCCUUCUGCAUCUCAGGGUAAUCCGCCUCUUCAUGCCAAAUUGAUCGUCAAGCAGAAGUACACAAGUAGACGAACACACUAACUCUCAUUGUUCAUAUACAUUAUCUUAUUCUUUGUUGAGUCCAGGAGGGUUGUCGUACAUCCCGGGGCAAGUACAAGACUCCCAUAUGCUGUAAGCUCCUCCGACACCUGUUCUUAUAGUUUGUAAGACCUUAUGUUUUACAUGAUGCCCUGUAACAGGAACUCAGCACAGCAAGGACAGUUUCCACCAAGAAAUCCAUUUGAUGAAUGAGAGUUGCUGGUGAAGAACGGCGCUGAUGAUGAACAGAUGAGGAGAGCCGAUUUGCACCGCUCGGAACCCAAAAGGACCAUCGGGUGUACUAUAUGCUUGAAACCAGAAACAGCACAGUAGAUAUCUUUCGAUUUCACUGUCUCACUCUCAGCUUUCCUGUAUAUUGCUAGAAAGGAAUGUGCAGAAUUCUAUAUGGCCGGUGCGCUGGAGUCUUUUCACCUGAAGCAAAGCUGCUGUGUCCUUCAGCUCUGUUGUAUAUUGCUGUGUGGUGGUUUUGUGAAAACCAUGAGUCUGCUUUUAUUUUCCACAGUCUGUCAUUUGCCCGUGGUUUGGGUCUGUGUUCUAUUUGAAUCAAAAUAGGAUAUUAUUGACUCAUUUUCAGAAGCAGGGGAUCAUCCGCAUUCUUCGGUCCUUCGUGAUCUUUAUCUUUAAGCAAAAGUACGGUGGCUCGUCAACUGACUGAAUUUGUUGUGAGAUGUUACUUGAAUUGGUGCUAGCUUGCCUUGUUCAUCACAUCUCCCUCAUUAAUGCAUUUAU